AGUGAACGCUGGCGGUAGGCCUAACACAUGCAAGUCGAACGGCAGCACAGUAAGAGCUUGCUAUUACGGGUGGCGAGUGGCGGACGGGUGAGGAAUACAUCGGAAUCUACUUUUUCGUGGGGGAUAACGUAGGGAAACUUACGCUAAUACCGCAUACGACCUACGGGUGAAAGAAGGGGAUCUUCGGACCUUGCGCGAUUGAAUGAGCCGAUGUCGGAUUAGCUAGUUGGCGGGGUAAAGGCCCACCAAGGCGACGAUCCGUAGCUGGUCUGAGGGGAUGAACAGACACACUGGAACUAAGACACGGUCCAGACUCCUACGAGAGGCAGCAGUGGGGAAUAUUGGAGAAUGGGCGCAAGCCUGAUCCAGCCAUACCGCGUGUGUGAAGAAGGCCUUCGGGUUGUAAAGCCCUUUUGUUGGGAAAGAAAAGCAGCAGGUGAAUACCCCGCUGUUCUGACGGUACCCAAAGAAUAAGCACCGGCUAACUUCGUG
Molecule: ribosomal RNA, 492 nt
Filed under: uncultured bacterium
Lineage: Bacteria
Description: partial 16S ribosomal RNA
Rfam family: Bacterial small subunit ribosomal RNA
Source: RNAcentral